Molecule: ribosomal RNA, 425 nt
Filed under: uncultured bacterium
Lineage: Bacteria
Description: partial 16S ribosomal RNA
Rfam family: Bacterial small subunit ribosomal RNA
Source: RNAcentral
GUUAGGAAUAUUGGACAAUGGGCGAAAGCCUGAUCCAGCCAUGCCGCGUGAACGAUGAAGGCCUUCGGGUUGUAAAGUUCUUUAGCCGAUGAUUAUAAUGACUGUAGUCGGAAAAUAAGCCCCGGCUAACUUCGUGCCAGCAGCCGCGGUAAUACGAAGGGGGCGAGCGUUAUUCGGAAUCACUGGGCGUAAAGCGUGCGUAGGCGGUUUUGUAAGUUAGGAGUGAAAGCCCAGGGCUCAACCUUGGAAGUGCUCUUAGAACUGCAAGGCUCGAAUCUCGGAGAGGAUAGCGGAAUUUCCAGUGUAGCAGUGAAAUGCGUAGAUAUUGGAAGGAACACCAGUGGCGUAAGCGGCUAUCUGGACGAGUAUUGACGCUGAGGCACGAAAGCGUGGGGAUCAAACAGGAUUAGAAACCCGAGUAGUCC